AAUUACCUUAUUUAUCCCUAAAAUCUCUCAACAACAUCGUGAUUUUCUAUAUCUUAUUCCAUUCUCCAUCACCACCGAAAUUCAUCAUCUCUCUCACAAAAUUGAAUCUCCACACCAUCACUGCCAGUGAAGAAUUCCUUUGCCCAUGUGUAAAUUUUAGGAGGAUUCCUAUUGCGUCGUCAAAUAAUUUAUUUAGGAGCAAGCAAAAUAAGAAUAAAGUGAUUUUUUAAGGUAUGAUUCUGUAAGCAUCUAAACCGUUUUUCAACAGAAAUCUCACCUGGAUUUUCGAUUUUGUUAUUUUGAUCCUUCUACAUGGUUUUAAAACUGCAUUAUAUCAUGUUUUUGAAUCUGAUUUUUGAGAAAACUAAAAUCUGAUUUCAGCAUAAGUUAUCAUGCAGUUUUGAGCAGUAUUGCAUCAAUUUCAGCAUAAUGCUUGAUUAGUAUGUGAUUUAAAGGUUUAUAAUUGAGUUUUAAUUUGCUUGGAGUGUCGGUAAAAUGGUUAGUAAAAUGUUAUUAUCUAGUUCAACAGGGAAUACUUUAAAAAUGAACUAUGCUACAAUUUGUUUAAGAAAGUAUGGGUACGAGUUAUUCAAAAAUGAAUUUGAUUAUUGGUAAUUCUAUGCAAUCAAUAUCAUUGACCGACUCUUUCAAAUUUGUUUUUGUAGAUGGAUGCAACCAGUUGUGGUCAUUAUGUACAUAUGUCUCAAUCUAAUGAAAUUGGUCAUCAUCAGUACAAGGCAAAGCACCUUACGUUGGGAUGAAAUUUAAGACAACAGAGGAAGCAAAGGCAUACUACGAAGAUUGAGGAAGCAAAGGCAUGCUACGAAGAUUAUGGACGGCAAAAUGGUUUUUGGAUUCAUACUCGAACAACAGUUUAAGUCACGCCCACAUAUAAAUGAAGUUACCCUUAUUAAAUUUGUGUGCUCACAUGAAGGAAAUUAUCAUAGGAAGAUUGUUGGCGGAUCAAGUAAAAUAGAGAAUUGUCAGAUAGUGGGUUCUACAAAAAGAAAAAAUUGCUCAAUGAUUAGAGGUGGAUGUAAGGCUAACAUGUGAAUCUCAAAUGACAUUGAAUGUGGC
Molecule: long non-coding RNA, 1077 nt
Filed under: Olea europaea subsp. europaea
Lineage: Eukaryota; Viridiplantae; Streptophyta; Magnoliopsida; Lamiales; Oleaceae
Source: RNAcentral